Molecule: ribosomal RNA, 253 nt
Filed under: uncultured bacterium
Lineage: Bacteria
Description: partial 16S ribosomal RNA
Rfam family: Bacterial small subunit ribosomal RNA
Source: RNAcentral
UACGAGGGGUGCAAGCGUUGCUCGGAAUUAUUGGGCGUAAAGGGUAGGUAGGUGGUCUCAUUUGUCUGGGGUGAAAGCCUUGAGCUUAACUCAAGAAGUGCCCUAGAAACGGUGAGACUGGAGUCCUGGAGAGGGUCGUGGAAUUCCCGGUGUAGCGGUGAAAUGCGUAGAGAUCGGGAGGAACACCAGCGGCGAAGGCGGCGACCCGGACAGGUACUGACACUCAACUACGAAAGCGUGGGGAGCAAACAGG